UUUUGACUAGUAGGGCACACCCGCCAUUGUUCGGACCAUCGACAGAAUAACGUUCGUGUUUUUCAGAUUUCUCCAUCCAAGACAUAGAUUUGCUGAUGAAUAACAUCGCAAAGAUCUUGGUGUAUUGUCUUCAUACUUGGCCACAACAACCCUUCAAAUAGACCAGACUAAACUAAAUAAAACUUGACCACCAUAUUAACAUUCAAGAAGUUCGGCCUACAUGUCAGAUUUAUGAAUGUGAACAGCAGGAUAUCGAUUUUAAGGAUGCUUUAGGGUCAAUGACAAUGAAAUCACGAGAGAUAAAGGCUAAAAUGUGAGACUGUCAAUCUGACUAACCUUGAAGUGAACAAAUGGAAAAAAUGUCUCUUUCAAUAGCAUGGGCUUUUAAGGAAGAGGAAACAGAGGCGCUUAUAUGAUAGAACAGUAAAAGCAGGAGUGAUAAGGAAAGAUACAUGUAGAAUAAGAUGUGUCUUCAUGUCUGAAACACUAAAGAAAUAGAAAUAUUGUGGUUUUAUA
Ruditapes philippinarum (Manila clam) is the source of this 516-nucleotide long non-coding RNA. RefSeq lists it as uncharacterized. Lineage: Eukaryota; Metazoa; Mollusca; Bivalvia; Venerida; Veneridae. The record is from RefSeq and is a predicted model, not a curated record. The transcript has 4 exons.